Neofelis nebulosa (Clouded leopard) is the source of this 4091-nucleotide long non-coding RNA. RefSeq lists it as uncharacterized. The transcript has 3 exons. The record is from RefSeq and is a predicted model, not a curated record. Lineage: Eukaryota; Metazoa; Chordata; Mammalia; Carnivora; Felidae.
ACAUGCACACACACAUACACAAACACACACCCUGAAGAUAGUGACCAGAACUAAAAACGUAUGCCUGCUCUCCCAGCCCCUAGCCGUGUGGGGAGAGGAUCAGGGUGGGUUCUGCCUUACCAGGAGGACACUGUUUGGAACAAGAGGUUCCCCCCCUCACAAACUGCCAGCCUCCACUGGUGUCCUCCCUGUGUGGGACACGGCGAGAGACCUCAGGAGAGUGGGACGCUCAUCCUCGCCACGUGACACGGACCAGUGCUGACUCUUCAGCUCAAGAUCCCUGAUGCAGGCAGUGAGCUGGAGGGUACAAACCGGCAGGAUGGAACCUCCCAGAGUGGGGCAGCCCGGGAAGGAAGGGCACCUCUCCGGCUGGCUGAGACUGUCCUGGCUGCCUGAGAAAGAGCGUGGAGAGAGGGGAGGCUGAGGCUGAUGGGGAAAGAGCUGCCCUAAAGACGGGACCGAGGGAAGACAAGGCAGCUGCCCCUCUGUGAGGAGAGCUCAGGCACAGACGGGCCAAGGCCACACUGAAGAGCCACGAAGGCAACCCAGAACGGUUUGUGAGGCAGGCCUGCCGUCUGCCCAGGCCAGCACAGCAGAGACCCCACGGCACUGGAGGGCAUCCGGGCCAAACUCCCACCCAACCUGACUAGUUGCGUGCUGACUGCCUGUCCAACCACCGGAUGUGCGUGACAAAGGGCACAUGACAAGGAGGAAGAGGAUAGGGUAAGGCACCAGAACUGAGGAACCCCCACCUGCGGCUGCGUGGUACCCUCCCCGGGGCAGACCAACUCAGCCCCGGGCACACGGAGUGUGAAGGUGCCUCCUUCUCUCCCCUCCUCGUGCGGGUCACAGCAGCUUGCCUUCAUGGCCAAGACAGCAGUGCACAUUCACAGCCCAGCCCAGGGUCAACGUCAGCCUGCUCUUGGUUGUGAUAUGUUCACCGGAGCCUUGAUCCUCACGGUCUACAAUGCUGAUGACAUCACACUCACUGGAUCUGGUGAGUGAGAAGCGGCCGGGACCCCAGAAUCCCGGGUAAGAUACGCGUGUGCCACUGGGUGGGAACUGAGCCCGGUGAGGAUUCAGGGCCCAUGAGAUUUUAGGGGUCCAGUGAUUUAGGGCACAGCCUCUAAGUAAGUAAGUGCUUGCACCUUAAGCCUUCUACCGUUAAGACGGGGGCAGAAGUUUUGGUAGGCCUCCUUAGAUUUUGGAGACAACAGUUGGAAAUACUGCUCCCGGCUUCAGGUGGGGCCCAGAGCAGGACUCCGCAGCAAGGCUAGGCUUGGAUACAAGGUGUUGAAGCCCUUGUUCCAAGUGAUCAGCGGAGCCAAUGUCUAGAGGUAUUUAUGGACGUCAGGACACGGUAGAGUUUCUGGUACAUUCUGUGGGUGUCGCAGUACGGACCCUCAGUGUUCUCAGGCAACAUCGAGAAACUCUCAAAAGUUUUCCCACUUGAGGGGCGCCUGGGCGGCUCAAUCAGUCAAGUGCGACUUCAGUUCAGGUCGCGAUCUCAUAGUUCGUGAGUUCAAGCCCCACACGGGGCUCUCUGCUCUCAGCGCGGAGCCCACCUCGGAUCCUCCUCUCUCUCUGCCCCUCCCCCCCCACUCACAGGCUAUCUCUCUCACUCUCGCUCUCAAAAAUAAAUACACGUUUUUUUGAAAAAAGUGCUUUCCCGUUUGAAAAACAGUUUCUGGUGUGCUUUGGGAUAUUUUAUGGAUAGGCUGUGUGGCCAGACCAUCAAUAUGAGCUUGCUAUUACCAGGCCCACGGAGUCAUGACUGGAAAUCCAUCACGUGCCUCUUCCUUCUUAUGCUUGUGCUCUCAUAGAGGUUCUCUUGAGAAAUAAUACAAGAGGAGGACAUUCCAGCCUGAAAUUCACACACGUCAGCACAAUACGUUAGUGCCAGAAAUGGACUCUGCCGCAUCGUAGCCCCUCUGGCUGGCCCUGCAGGCAGUGAAGGGAAAUCCUCCUCUUAAUAGAAGAUCUGUGGGCACAACACGUAACCGUUCCAUUUAUAUGAAAUAUUCACAGACUCCAAGUCGGCAACGCAGAUGGCUUGCGUUGCUGAUCAGGACAUAAAAGGAGCAAGAUCAGAAAAGUAGAACCAAAAACUUGGGGAGAACAGGCGUGUGGCUGGCCUGCAAAAGAGGCCUGAUGCUUGAAGAUCCGUGUGUCUGGUGUUGACACACACUAGAAAGCGUCUCCUGCGAAGGAGGCACCGAGCCACUAGGGGGGCAGGAUGACGCAUCAGUGGAUCCCAGCCGGCCUCUGUCCUCCACAAGUCCAAGUCCACGGCUUAUACCAUUGUUCCAUGAACAGAGUGUCCAUGAGGAGAGGGAAGAAAGCACACAGGAGUCUCAGGGCGCGGCCUUCCCCUCAUCAAGCCCAAUGUGGUGACGGUCACUGCUGAGUGCCGAGCCUGCCAGCAGCACAGACCAAUGCCGAGUUUCUGGUACGGCACGGUGCCCUGGGGAGACCAGCCAGCCUCAUGGAGGCAGGCCGAUGACCUCAAACGCCCUCCACCUUGGAAGUAAAGUUAUUUAUCCUUACAGAAGUUUAUAGAUACUUUAGCAUGGUUUUUUUUUCCUUGUCUUCCCCGUGGCUUAGAGCUCCCAAUCUAUUGACCUACUGUCUGCAGAAGAUUAAGGAUGGCCACAAAUUCUUUGACACUCCUCCUAUCAAAAGGGAAGCCAGCCAACACAUAGAUAUCCAACCACCCUGGGACUGCCAUGCUGUGAGGAAGCCCAAGCUGGCCUCAGGUAGGGGCUGCAUGGGAAGUGAGAUCCACCUGCAGCCCCAGCGGUUACAGCCAUUUCAGGGAAGAAGGCUUCAGAUGGGCAGCCACCAUAUGACUGCAACCAUAAGAAGGACCAACUGAGACCCACUACCUUACCCUGCCAACCCCAGGAAAGUAAAUCAUAAUAAAUUGUAGGUUUUAGGCCACUCAGUUUCUAGGUGGUUUGUUAUGCUGUAUUACACAAUCGAAACAGUAUUCCAUACAACAUUUUUUUGUGCCAAGAGACCUAUGUCAAAGUAAAGAAGGCAUGAAGGUUGGCACAUGACCAUGGGAUUCACUAAUGUCACCCGGGACCCCAUCACCCAGAAGCAGCCAACCUAGUAAGAACGACAGAAAGGCUUGUUAAUGGCUGAGCUAAGGGGCCCACUCUGGGCCAGAACCUCUCAGGAUUCGGUCACUGUCCCCCAGGAUCCAGGGUUUGUACUGAAGCCAUGGUCAGUUAGUGGCCCUGGGUCACGAGGGCCUCAAAGACAAGCUCCAGGAACCACAGAGAAGCAAGUGUGCCCCAUCACCACUGUCGUCAGUGAGCAUGAUCAGCGCUUCCUUCCUGCCAGUGCUGUUAUAGGCUGUGCUGGGUUGGGAGUCCCGAUUCCCUGGCUAGAGCUGGGGAACGUUUCUGUCCGUAUCUCUGCUCCGCUGGAAGCCGUGACUACCAUACAGCCGCCUGAGGCUUCCCACGCCACUGGACAAGCAAGCAAAGAAUAGACUUACUGUAUAGGAGGGGCAAUCAACCCCAAAUACCCUGAAGGGCUAGGUUUGCUGAUACUCACUGGGGACAGGGAGGGAAACAUCUGGAACUGACAGGUUCGCUGGGACAUUUUAGUCUGUGCCAAGGAUAAGCUACGAACAGACAAUUGCAGCAAUCAUGACCCCUCCAGGGCAAGGCAACCAAGGGUUCCAUUCCUCAGGACAAACAAAUCCGACUGGCCACACUUCUAGCUGAAGGAGACCAAUCCAGAAAGGGGGGUGGAGGAAGGAGAGGACGGGUAUUGAUUUCAGCCCUGGGACCGUUUGCAGUGGCAGGGACCAGUGCUUGGCUUGACAACCUUUUUUCUAAACUUUUAGUAGAUUGCAGCUAGAUAGCAUCUUAAAGAAUCCUAACUGCACCGCCCUCAGGAAAUAAGCAAGGACGUGCCUCCUCGGGACGGGUGUGCGGGGACACGCCAUAAAGGACUCAGGUACGGUCCGUCAGAUGGCCCGGCUGCACCGCAGGCCCCAGAGUCCCCCGGGGCGGCCGUUUCCAGUGCGGCAUGCGAGUGUGAAUGACACCACAGAGCCUUCCUCAAGUUCACCACGA